This 274-nucleotide ribosomal RNA is filed under the name uncultured bacterium. RNAcentral describes it as "partial 16S ribosomal RNA". It matches the Rfam family "Bacterial small subunit ribosomal RNA", at positions 523 to 796 of the family's 1533-position model. The record is from RNAcentral.
AUACGGAGGGUCCAAGCGUUAUCCGGAUUCAUUGGGUUUAAAGGGUCCGCAGGCGGGAAAAUAAGUCAGUGGUGAAAGCCUACAGCUCAACUGUAGAACUGCCAUUGAUACUGUUUUUCUUGAGUAUAGAUGAAGUGGGCGGAAUAUAUCAUGUAGCGGUGAAAUGCAUAGAUAUGAUAUAGAACACCGAUUGCGAAGGCAGCUCACUAAGCUAUUACUGACGCUCAGGGACGAAAGCGUGGGGAGCGAACAGGAUUAGAAACCCUAGUAGUCC